UCUUCGGUAGCUGAGAUGGUAAAGAAUCUGCCUGCUAUGUAGGAGACCCAGGUUUAACUCCUGGGUCAGGAA
Molecule: non-coding RNA, 72 nt
Organism: Bos taurus (domestic cattle)
Lineage: Eukaryota; Metazoa; Chordata; Mammalia; Artiodactyla; Bovidae
Source: Rfam